RNAcentral lists this ribosomal RNA (2153 nucleotides) under marine sediment metagenome. RNAcentral's name for it is "bacterial LSU rRNA". It matches the Rfam family "Bacterial large subunit ribosomal RNA", at positions 3 to 2106 of the family's 2925-position model. The record is from RNAcentral.
UCAAGCUAAAAAGGGCGGACGGUGGAUGCCUUGGCGGUAGGAGGCGAUGAAGGACGUGGUUAGCUGCGAAAAGCGUCGGGGAGCUGCUAAGCAAGCUUUGAUCCGGCGAUGUCCGAAUGGGGAAACCCGGCUGGGGUCAUGCCCAGUCAUCUUUCACUGAAUACAUAGGUGAAAGAGGCGAACCCGGGGAACUGAAACAUCUCAGUACCCGGAGGAAAGUAAAUCAAUUGAGACUCCCUGAGUAGCGGCGAGCGAAACGGGAUUAUGGCCAAACCGGCGGGAAGCAAUUCCUUCCGGGGUUGUGGGACUCCGAUGUGGGACUCUGAUGGAUAGCGGAAUGGUCUGGAAAGGCCGGCCGAAGAGGGUGAAAGCCCCGUAUGUGAAAUCUUGAAGAGCUCUAGGAGUAUCCCGAGUACCACGGGACACGAGAAAUCUUGUGGGAAUCUGGGGGGACCAUCCUCCAAGCCUAAGUACUACCUACCGACCGAUAGUGAACCAGUACCGUGAGGGAAAGGUGAAAAGCACCCCGUUGAGGGGAGUGAAAUAGACCUGAAACCGUUUGCCUACAUGCAGUAGGAGCUCUAUGGCGAUUCUUCGGAAUCGCAAUGAGUGACUGCGUACCUUUUGUUUAAUGGGUCCGCGAGUUAUUCCUCAGUAGCAAGGUUAAGCCGCCAGGUGUAGCCGCAGCGAAAGCGAGUCUGAAUAGGGCGUCUAGUUACUGGGGAUAGACCCGAAACCAAGUGAUCUAUCCAUGGCCAGGUUGAAGCUCAGGUAAGACUGAGUGGAGGACCGAACCGUAGUAGGUUGAAAACUACCCGGAUGAGCUGUGGAUAGGGGUGAAAGGCCAAUCAAACUUGGAGAUAGCUGGUUCUCCCCGAAAUAUAUUUAGGUAUAGCCUUGCGUUUAUACCACCGGAGGUAGAGCACUGACUGGGCUAGGGGUCCUACCAGAUUACCGAACCCAAUCAAACUCCGAAUACCGGUGAGUACUGCGCAGGAGUCAGACUGCGGGUGAUAAGAUCCGUGGUCGAGAGGGAAAGAACCCAGACCGCCGGCUAAGGUCCCUAAAUCAUUGCUGAGUGGGAAAGGAAGUGAGAGCGCUUAGACAACCAGGAUGUUGGCUUAGAAGCAGCCACCAUUUAAAAAGUGCGUAACAGCUUACUGGUCUAGUGAAUUCGCGCCGAAAAUGUAACGGGGCUAAGCAAUGUACCGAAGCCGCGGGACUCAAUUCUCUUCGGAGUUUUGAGUCGGUAGGGGAGCGUUCCAUACACGUUGAAGGUCUACCGUAAGGAGGGCUGGAGAGUAUGGAAGUGAUGAUGCGGACAUGAGUAGCGAUAAACAGGGUGAGAAACCCUGUCGCCGUAAACCUAAGGGUUCCUGAGUCAAGCUAAUCUUCUCAGGGUUAGUCGGCCCCUAAGCCGAGGGCGAAAGCCGUAGGCGAUGGGAAUCGGGUUAAUAUUCCCGAACCACUAGAUAGCCGUUCGACCGAAGGGGGGACGGAGAAGGAUAGCUCAGCCCGUUAUUGGAUUCGGGUGAACGUCAAUAGGCGGGAAGUGUAGGCAAAUCCGCACUUCUAUCUAACGCUGAGGGACGGGACGGUGGCCAAUAUGGCCCGUAAGUGAGUGAUUCCAUGCUUCCUAGAAAAGCCUCGUAGGGAGGUUGUCUGGUGACCGUACCGCAAACCAACACAGGUAGGUGGGCAGAGCAUGCCAAGGCGCUUGAGAUAACUCUGGUUAAGGAACUCGGCAAAAUGACACCGUAACUUCGGGAGAAGGUGUGCCUUUUCUGGUGAAGGACUUCGCGUCUGGAGCUGGGAGAGGUUGCAGAGACCAGGGGGUAGCGACUGUUUACUAAAAACACAGGACUCUGCGAAGUCGCAAGACGACGUAUAGGGUCUGACGCCUGCCCGGUGCCGGAAGGUUAAGGGAACCUGUUAGCUCUUCGGAGCGAAGCAGCGAACCGAAGCCCCGGUAAACGGCGGCCGUAACUAUAACGGUCCUAAGGUAGCGAAAUUCCUUGUCGGGUAAGUUCCGACCUGCACGAAUGGCAUAACGACUUCCCCACUGUCUCAACCAGGGACUCAGCGAAAUUGAAUUGCCGGUGAAGAUGCCGGCGACCCGCAGCAGGACGGAAAGACCCCGUGCACCUUUACUA